AAAACAGCAAGGUUAGUUAACCAAAGUAACUUGUAUCUCAUGGAAUAAGAUCACAUCAUCCAUUAGGACUAAUUGCUUGAACCUGAAAUGCAAAACUCAAAAGGUGAGUACAAACCACUAGUCCAAAGACUAGGGUCAAAAGCAAAGCAAAAAGUCAAAACAGCAGCCAAUAUUCAACAUGAAGCAUACUUAAUCAAGUAAGAACAUGUCCCAAAAAGGACCAAAUCCAAAUCACAAGGCAAGGCCAACAAU
Molecule: long non-coding RNA, 252 nt
Filed under: Lathyrus oleraceus (garden pea)
Lineage: Eukaryota; Viridiplantae; Streptophyta; Magnoliopsida; Fabales; Fabaceae
Description: Pisum sativum (pea) long non-coding RNA (PSAT_LNC024113)
Source: RNAcentral